UGUGUGUUAGUGGAAGCGUCUGGAAAGGCGCGCGAUACAGGGUGACAGCCCCGUACACAAAAAUGCACAUGCUGUGAGCUCGAUGAGUAGGGCGGGACACGUGGUAUCCUGUCUGAAUAUGGGGGGACCAUCCUCCAAGGCUAAAUACUCCUGACUGACCGAUAGUGAACCAGUACCGUGAGGGAAAGGCGAAAAGAACCCCGGCGAGGGGAGUGAAAAAGAACCUGAAACCGUGUACGUACAAGCAGUGGGAGCACAGAGCAAUCUGUGUGACUGCGUACCUUUUGUAUAAUGGGUCAGCGACUUAUAUUCUGUAGCAAGGUUAACCGAAUAGGGGAGCCGAAGGGAAACCGAGUCUUAACUGGGCGUUAAGUUGCAGGGUAUAGACCCGAAACCCGGUGAUCUAGCCAUGGGCAGGUUGAAGGUUGGGUAACACUAACUGGAGGACCGAACCGACUAAUGUUGAAAAAUUAGCGGAUGACUUGUGGCUGGGGGUGAAAGGCCAAUCAAACCGGGAGAUAGCUGGUUCUCCCCGAAAGCUAUUUAGGUAGCGCCUCGUGAAUUCAUCUCCGGGGGUAGAGCACUGUUUCGGCAAGGGGGUCAUCCCGACUUACCAACCCGAUGCAAACUGCGAAUACCGGAGAAUGUUAUCACGGGAGACACACGGCGGGUGCUAACGUCCGUCGUGAAGAGGGAAACAACCCAGACCGCCAGCUAAGGUCCCAAAGUCAUGGUUAAGUGGGAAACGAUGUGGGAAGGCCCAGACAGCCAGGAUGUUGGCUUAGAAGCAGCCAUCAUUUAAAGAAAGCGUAAUAGCUCACUGGUCGAGUCGGCCUGCGCGGAAGAUGUAACGGGGCUAAACCAUGCACCGAAGCUGCGGCAGCGACGCUGAUGCGUUGUUGGGUAGGGGAGCGUUCUGUAAGCCUGUGAAGGUGUGCUGUGAGGCAUGCUGGAGGUAUCAGAAGUGCGAAUGCUGACAUAAGUAACGAUAAAGCGGGUGAAAAGCCCGCUCGCCGGAAGACCAAGGGUUCCUGUCCAACGUUAAUCGGGGCAGGGUGAGUCGACCCCUAAGGCGAGGCCGAAAGGCGUAGUCGAUGGGAAACAGGUUAAUAUUCCUGUACUUGGUGUUACUGCGAAGGGGGGACGGAGAAGGCUAUGUUGGCCGGGCGACGGUUGUCCCGGUUUAAGCGUGUAGGCUGGUUUUCCAGGCAAAUCCGGAAAACUAAGGCUGAGGCGUGAUGACGAGGCACUACGGUGCUGAAGCAACAAAUGCCCUGCUUCCAGGAAAAGCCUCUAAGCAUCAGGUAACAUCAAAUCGUACCCCAAACCGACACAGGUGGUCAGGUAGAGAAUACCAAGGCGCUUGAGAGAACUCGGGUGAAGGAACUAGGCAAAAUGGUGCCGUAACUUCGGGAGAAGGCACGCUGAUAUGUAGGUGAAGUCCCUCGCGGAUGGAGCUGAAAUCAGUCGAAGAUACCAGCUGGCUGCAACUGUUUAUUAAAAACACAGCACUGUGCAAACACGAAAGUGGACGUAUACGGUGUGACGCCUGCCCGGUGCCGGAAGGUUAAUUGAUGGGGUCAGCGCAAGCGAAGCUCUUGAUCGAAGCCCCGGUAAACGGCGGCCGUAACUAUAACGGUCCUAAGGUAGCGAAAUUCCUUGUCGGGUAAGUUCCGACCUGCACGAAUGGCGUAAUGAUGGCCAGGCUGUCUCCACCCGAGACUCAGUGAAAUUGAACUCGCUGUGAAGAUGCAGUGUACCCGCGGCAAGACGGAAAGACCCCGUGAACCUUUACUAUAGCUUGACACUGAACAUUGAGCCUUGAUGUGUAGGAUAGGUGGGAGGCUUUGAAGUGUGGACGCCAGUCUGCAUGGAGCCGACCUUGAAAUACCACCCUUUAAUGUUUGAUGUUCUAACGUUGACCCGUAAUCCGGGUUGCGGACAGUGUCUGGUGGGUAGUUUGACUGGGGCGGUCUCCUCCUAAAGAGUAACGGAGGAGCACGAAGGUUGGCUAAUCCUGGUCGGACAUCAGGAGGUUAGUGCAAUGGCAUAAGCCAGCUUGACUGCGAGCGUGACGGCGCGAGCAGGUGCGAAAGCAGGUCAUAGUGAUCCGGUGGUUCUGAAUGGAAGGGCCAUCGCUCAACGGAUAAAAGGUACUCCGGGGAUAACAGGCUGAUACCGCCCAAGAGUUCAUAUCGACGGCGGUGUUUGGCACCUCGAUGUCGGCUCAUCACAUCCUGGGGCUGAAGUAGGUCCCAAGGGUAUGGCUGUUCGCCAUUUAAAGUGGUACGCGAGCUGGGUUUAGAACGUCGUGAGACAGUUCGGUCCCUAUCUGCCGUGGGCGCUGGAGAACUGAGGGGGGCUGCUCCUAGUACGAGAGGACCGGAGUGGACGCAUCACUGGUGUUCGGGUUGUCAUGCCAAUGGCACUGCCCGGUAGCUAAAUGCGGAAGAGAUAAGUGCUGAAAGCAUCUAAGCACGAAACUUGCCCCGAGAUGAGUUCUCCCUGACUCCUUGAGAGUCCUGAAGGAACGUUGAAGACGACGACGUUGAUAGGCCGGGUGUGUAAGCGCAGCGAUGCGUUGAGCUAACCGGUACUAAUGAACCGUGAGGCUUAACCUUAC
Molecule: ribosomal RNA, 2623 nt
Filed under: Escherichia coli O111:H8 str. CVM9570
Lineage: Bacteria; Pseudomonadati; Pseudomonadota; Gammaproteobacteria; Enterobacterales; Enterobacteriaceae
Description: bacterial LSU rRNA
Rfam family: Bacterial large subunit ribosomal RNA
Source: RNAcentral